GUUGCACUCUCUAAUAUUUGAUUUAAAAGUAAUCAAAAAGUGGAAACUGUAAGUUUUUUUUCGGUGAAUAGUGGAAACUGUAAGAUUAUGCAAUUGCUGAUGAACAAUUCAAAACCAAGCAUUAAUUCUUUUGUGUUCGAUGACAGUGAAAAAAAGGCAGAGCUGACAUUCAUUUAGUACUUCCAUAACUACUUCACCCUAUUUUGAAGACUCUGUAGGAGGAAAGGAGCUUAAUGAAAGUGUAAGAAAUUCAGAUUUACCAUUGUUUGGUAUAAAUAUUAUAGCUGCAGCAACAGGCAAUUUCUCUGAUGCUAACAAGCUUGGAGAAGGUGGUUUUGGCCCUGUGUAUAAGGGUAUGCUCUACAAUGGAAUGGAAAUAGCAGUGAAAAGACUAUCGAAGUAAUCCGGGCAAGGAAACGAAGAGUUCAAGAAUGAAGUUAUGCUGAUUGCAAAACUCCAGCACAGGAAUCUUGUGAGGAUUUUAGGUUGCUGUGUUCAAGAAGAGGAGAGGAUGUUAAUCUAUGAGUACUUGCCAAACAAGAGCUUAGAUUUUUUUAAUUUUUGGUGAAACAAAUAGGAAAUUGUUAGAUUGGAGAAAACGCUUUGACAUAAUCUGUGGAGUUGCGCGAGGGAUCUUAUAUCGUCAUCAAGAUUCAAGACUAAAAAUUAUCCAUAGAGAUCUAAAGGCCAGCAAUGUUCUACUAGAUGCUGAAAUGAUCCCCAAAAUUGCAGAUAUUGGUAUGGCUAGAAUAUUUGGAAGGGAUCAAAUCGAAGCAAAUACCAAUCGUGUGGUAGGAACAUAAUGUCUCCAGAGUAUGCAAUGGAAGGCAUGUUUUCAAUAAAAUCAGAUGUAUACAGCUUCGGAGUUUUGAUGUUAGAAAUUGUUACCGGCAAAAGGAACUCUAGUUACUAUAAUGAAAAAACAAACUUCAAUAUGGUUGGACAUGUUUGGGAACUGUGGAGAGAUGGAAAAUGCAUGGACAUACUCAACUCAACGUUGGACGAAGAAUUCGCUGAAGAAGCUUCGAGAUGUGUUCAAAUAGGGCUGUUGUGUGUGCAAGAGUACGCAUCAGAUCGGCCUAACGUUGUCAGCAGUAGUGUUCAUGUUGGGGAAUAAUAUUAUAGCGCUGCCUCAUCCAAAGGCACCAGCAUUCAUGAUGAAGAGAAGUUACACAAGCAGAGACCCAUCAACUAGUGAAGAAGCCACUUAUAUAAAUGAAGUGAAUUCUACUAUCGUUGAAGGUCGCUGAAGACUCCCUAUAGACUCUUAAUUAAGUUUUGUAUUUAGAUUUUAAUUAUAUGAUAUUUACACGUGUGUGUAUAUAUAUAUAUAUAUAUAUAUAUGUCCUACAAAUUCGACUAUUGCUUCUAAUUAAUCAUG
Molecule: RNA transcript, 1381 nt
Organism: Ziziphus jujuba (common jujube)
Lineage: Eukaryota; Viridiplantae; Streptophyta; Magnoliopsida; Rosales; Rhamnaceae
Gene name: G-type lectin S-receptor-like serine/threonine-protein kinase RKS1
Exons: 5
Source: RefSeq, a predicted model, not a curated record